Molecule: ribosomal RNA, 370 nt
Filed under: uncultured bacterium
Lineage: Bacteria
Description: bacterial SSU rRNA
Rfam family: Bacterial small subunit ribosomal RNA
Source: RNAcentral
ACGAACGCUGGCGGCGUGCCUAACACAUGCAAGUCGAACGGAUCAGUGCUUCGCACUGAUUACUUUGGGGUAAAGCCCCAAACCCCCUUUAAGGAUUUUAUUCUAAGAUUUUAUAGGGAGUUUGAGGGAUCAGUCCCUCAAAGUAACCAAUGCGGAGCAUUGGUUAGUGGCGGACGGGUGAGUAACACGUAGGAAACCUACCCUUAAGGCGGGGAUAAUGCCCGAGAAAUCGGCACUAAUACCCCAUAAGACCACGAACUGAGAAGUUCGUGGUAAAAGUCCUGAGAAAAUCAUGAUGCUUAAGGAUGGGCCUGCGGCCUAUCAGGUAGUUGGUGGGGUAAAGGCCCACCAAGCCUAAGACGGGUAGCCG